UCCACGCCGUAAACGAUGUCAACUAGCCGUUGGGACUCUUGAAGUCUUAGUGGCGCAGCUAACGCACUAAGUUGACCGCCUGGGGAGUACGGCCGCAAGGUUAAAACUCAAAUGAAUUGACGGGGGCCCGCACAAGCGGUGGAGCAUGUGGUUUAAUUCGACGCAACGCGAAGAACCUUACCUGGCCUUGACAUCCAGAGAACUUUCCAGAGAUGGAUUGGUGCCUUCGGGAACUCUGAGACAGGUGCUGCAUGGCCGUCGUCAGCUCGUGUCGUGAGAUGUUGGGUUAAGUCCCGUAACGAGCGCAACCCCUAUCCCUGGUUGCUAGCAGGUAAUGCUGAGAACUCCAGGGAGACUGCCGGUGACAAACCGGAGGAAGGUGGGGAUGACGUCAGGUCAUCAUGGCCCUUACGGCCAGGGCUACACACGUGCUACAAUGGCGCGUACAGAGGGCUGCCAACUCGCGAGAGUGAGCCAAUCCCUUAAAACGCGUCGUAGUCCGGAUCGGAGUCUGCAACUCGACUCCGUGAAGUCGGAAUCGCUAGUAAUCGCGAAUCAGAAGAGCGAUGGCC
This 572-nucleotide ribosomal RNA is filed under the name Marinobacter sp. Its description in RNAcentral is "bacterial SSU rRNA". It matches the Rfam family "Bacterial small subunit ribosomal RNA", at positions 794 to 1367 of the family's 1533-position model. Lineage: Bacteria; Pseudomonadati; Pseudomonadota; Gammaproteobacteria; Pseudomonadales; Marinobacteraceae. The record is from RNAcentral.